UGGAUCACCUCCUAACAGGGAGACAACAAAAUGUUUAAUAUUAUUAUUUUGUCACCUUAGGUCGAUCGGUAUCUCACAUUCUUAAUUUAUUAAGAAUUUCAACUCCUAAGUUUUUCUAGGUCACACCCAUUAUUUUCCUGGGCCAUUAGCUCAGGUGGUUAGAGCGCACCCCUGAUAAGGGUGAGGUCCCUGGUUCAAGUCCAGGAUGGCCCAUAUCUCUAUGUUGGGGGUAUAGCUCAGUUGGUAGAGCGCCUGCUUUGCAAGCAGGAUGUCAGCGGUUCGAGUCCGCUUACCUCCACUGAAUACCACCUCUGCCAUAUUUUGUAAAAGGGAAAUUUUUUGAGUUGUGAUCAAAUUCUGAACGAUUCUAGCUUCCUAAUGAAAUCAUUAAGAUGCUGGACUCAUUGAAUUAAUUUCAUUGUUUUCAGAGAACCUUGACAACUGCAUAGAUUAUUUUUAAAGACAAUAAGCAUCUUUAAUGAUGCAGAUUUAUUAUUUGUGCGAAUGCAUUAAUAACAAUUCUAUUAAGCUGAUGCUUCAAUUUUGAAGUUAUUGGUCAAGCUACAAAGGGCUCACGGAGGAUACCUAGGCACACAGAGGCGAUGAAGG
Molecule: transfer RNA, 609 nt
Filed under: uncultured Prochlorococcus sp.
Lineage: Bacteria; Bacillati; Cyanobacteriota; Cyanophyceae; Synechococcales; Prochlorococcaceae
Description: partial contains 16S ribosomal RNA, 16S-23S ribosomal RNA intergenic spacer, and 23S ribosomal RNA
Rfam family: tRNA (bases 226-298)
Source: RNAcentral